This 615-nucleotide ribosomal RNA is filed under the name Thanatephorus sp. CECT2829. RNAcentral's name for it is "eukaryotic LSU rRNA". The stretch from base 190 to 343 matches the Rfam family "5.8S ribosomal RNA". Lineage: Eukaryota; Fungi; Basidiomycota; Agaricomycetes; Cantharellales; Ceratobasidiaceae. The record is from RNAcentral.
AUGAAGAGUUGGUUGUAGCUGGUCCAUUAAUUUGGGCAAUGUGCACACCUCCUCUUUCAUCCACACACACCUGUGCACCUGUGAGACAGAUGGGGGAAUUUAUUCAUUUAUUGGACCCCUCUGUCUACUCAAUUCAUAUAAACUCAAUUUAUUUAAAAAUGAAUGUAAUGAUGUAACACAUCUAAUACUAAGUUUCAACAACGGAUCUCUUGGCUCUCGCAUCGAUGAAGAACGCAGCGAAAUGCGAUAAGUAAUGUGAAUUGCAGAAUUCAGUGAAUCAUCGAAUCUUUGAACGCACCUUGCGCUCCUUGGUAUUCCUUGGAGCAUGCCUGUUUGAGUAUCAUGAAAUCUUCAAAGUAAAUCUUUUGUUAAUUCAAUUGGUUCUACUUUGGUAUUGGAGGUCUUUUGCAGCUUCACACCUGCUCCUCUUUGUGCAUUAGCUGGAUCUCAGUGUUAUGCUUGGUUCCACUCAGCGUGAUAAAUUAUCUAUCGCUGAGGACACUGUAAAAAGUGGCCAAGGUAAAUACAGAUGAACCGCUUCUAAUAGUCCAUUGACUUGGACAAUAUUAUUAUGAUCUGAUCUCAAAUCAGGUAGGACUACCCGCUGAACUUAAG